RNAcentral lists this unclassified non-coding RNA (351 nucleotides) under soil metagenome. RNAcentral describes it as "partial contains 5.8S ribosomal RNA, internal transcribed spacer 2, and large subunit ribosomal RNA". The stretch from base 1 to 120 matches the Rfam family "5.8S ribosomal RNA", at positions 35 to 154 of the family's 154-position model. The record is from RNAcentral.
GAUGAAGAACGUAGCGAAAUGCGAUAAGUAAUGUGAAUUGCAGAAUUCAGUGAAUCAUCGAAUCUUUGAACGCACAUUGCGCCUGCCAGUAUUCUGGCGGGCAUGCCUGUCUGAGCGUCAUUUCAACCCUCAGCCCCCGCUCGCGGGGCGCUGGCGUUGGGGAUCGGCCGUCCUCGCGGCGGCCGGCCCCGAAACACAGUGGCGGUCUCUCGCGGACUCCCCUGCGUAGUAGCACUACCUCGCAGAAGGGACGAGCGGGCUGACCACGCCGUAAAACCCCCCACUUCUCCAGGUUGACCUCAGAUCAGGUAGGAAUACCCGCUGAACUUAAGCAUAUCAAUAAGCGGAGGA